This is a long non-coding RNA of Hemibagrus wyckioides, 1804 nucleotides long. RefSeq lists it as uncharacterized. The record is from RefSeq and is a predicted model, not a curated record. NCBI's taxonomy places the organism in Eukaryota, Metazoa, Chordata, Actinopteri, Siluriformes, Bagridae. The transcript is spliced from 3 exons.
GUCACUUGAAACAUGAGGAACACAGACACAGCCCACAAGAGAAGUCAAAGGGAGCAUGGCCUUGGGCACCCACCGCUGACGCUGCACAUCAGCCAUGGACACACGAUCAACAUGUAAUACUGAGGAGUUCACUCACUCCACUGCCCUGGCUGCACUCCAUGAACCUGAAGCAUGCAGAUGGGAUGUUUCCUAAGGCUCUGUUUGACACACAUUGACACGCAUGCAUCCUUGGAAAAAGGGGAACUUAUUCACCCUUCUCCUCAGCUGUUUGCAACGGAGUAGCCUGACCCAAGGGUCACAGGGAUCUGCUGGAGCAUAUCCCAGCAGGCACAGGGAGAACAUGCAAACUCCACACAAAAAGGCCCCUGUCUGUUCGAACACGGGAUCCCAGGACCUUCUUGCUGUGAGGCAACAGUGCUAACCACUAAGCCACUGUGCUACCCUCUGAGAUAAACAACACUUGCAUAAUGCUAUUUAACUUCUGUAAUUUAAGCAACUUUUUAGCGUAUUUUACUUUAAAGUGUUACCAAAAUAUAAUACAUUAUGUAUGGAUACUUUUACUUAGAUCAGCAUUGAUUCCAGUAGAAAUUGGACAGGCAGAAAGUCAGUUGGAAAUUUUGGUUUUGGUUUUACAUCAUAAUUCAAACUGCAUGGCUUUUGACCAACAAACGGAUUUUAUUUAUCCAUAUUUUUUUUAAUGUUAUCUACACUUUUACUUGUACAUAUAAUUUCUUAGUUCGUUUUCUGCUGCACAUUUUAUGUUUCUAUGAUUUAGCUAUGCUUCCUAGUGUUUCAUUAAAAGGGAAUAAACUGGAAAAUCUGCUACUGUAUGUUCAGCAUGUUUUGGUAAAUCUCAUUAAAAUAUAACAAUUCUAUUGGAUUUCAUUGAUUAUAUGCACUCAUUUUACAACAUUUUACUGGAGACUUGAGUUCCUGAUUGUGAUUUAUUAAACAUGAUUACUGUAAAGAUGAUUACAGUGCAGUUACAUUUAGCAUAUUGUCUAGGGCUAUUUAUAUUCAACUAAUUUGAAUUGUAACCUGAUUCAAACAUAAAUUGUGUGAUUUAGGCUGUACUCAUUUACACCAAUUAAAUUUUCUUCUGCUUUGAUUGGUUAACGUUUGUGUUUGUAGUGACUCAUAAUGCUUUUAGUGUGACCCGUUUCCACACAUUUCCAAAAUCAGUAACUUCACCUACAAGGCCCACAUGUGUCAUGAACAACAACAAACAUAUUUGUGAGGCAGUCCAUCCUACUGGUACACUGGAUUCUUAAGUUCUAAAAAUGUUUUGCAAGGAUUUAUUUCUGAUAUUGAUAUGCUCUGUUGUGUUAUUCAUAGGCUACCAACAACUGAAGAGUUCAAAAUAUUAUAAGAGUGGGAUUCCUUCUGACUUUUAAAGCUAUUGCGCUACAACCAGAGAUCAAAAAAGCCCAAAUCUUCAAAUCAUAGUCCCUUCAAAUCAAAGUUAAAAACUGUUAUCCAUUACUUCUGAGUAUUCAGAAGCAAGUACAGUCAAUAACUGUUAUCAUAACUGGGCCUAAAACCUGCUAAAGUUGUAAUAAUCAGUGCCGUAGAUAAGAUGAUAAAUAUGUGGUUAUUAUUCAUUACUUGUUAACUUUAAACAGAAUUGUUAAAAAGUGAAAGGCAUGAACUGCUUUUGAAUAUACUUUGUGUUUUUUCUAUAAUAGGAUUAUAUAAAUAAUAUAAUAUACUCAUGCCAUAUACCUGUUCAUGGUUAUUUGUAAAACAGUUCAUUCAGUCAAUGUCUUUAAUUAAGAAAUUCUGUUAUGCUGAUAUGUUUGUUGGU